GGCGAACCGUCCGAACGUUAUUCGGAAUCACUGGGCUUAAAGGGCGCGUAGGCGGGCUGCCAAGUCCGGGGUGAAAUCCUCCAGCUCAACUGGAGAACGGCCUCGGAUACUGGAAGUCUCGAGGGAGGUAGGGGCACGCGGAACUGUUGGGUGAGCGGUGAAAUGCGUUGAUAUCCAUAGGAACUCCGGUGGCGAAGGCGGCGUGCUGGAUCUCUUCUGACGCUGAGGCGCGAAAGCCAGGGGAUCAAACGGG
RNAcentral lists this ribosomal RNA (253 nucleotides) under uncultured bacterium. Its description in RNAcentral is "partial 16S ribosomal RNA". It matches the Rfam family "Bacterial small subunit ribosomal RNA", at positions 524 to 776 of the family's 1533-position model. The record is from RNAcentral.